This 525-nucleotide ribosomal RNA is filed under the name Muusoctopus cf. profundorum JMS-2009. Its description in RNAcentral is "Benthoctopus cf. profundorum JMS-2009 partial 16S ribosomal RNA". It matches the Rfam family "Bacterial large subunit ribosomal RNA", at positions 1819 to 2597 of the family's 2925-position model. Lineage: Eukaryota; Metazoa; Mollusca; Cephalopoda; Octopoda; Octopodidae. The record is from RNAcentral.
GUCUCUUUGAAGGAUUAAUAAUAAAGAGUUUGGCCUGCUCAGUGAGAUUUUUAACAGCUGCGGUAUUAUAACUGUACUAAGGUAGCAUAAUAAUUUGCCUUAUAAAUUAGGGCUAGAAUGAAUGGUUUGACGAAAAUUAUACUGUCUCUAUUUUAAUUGAUAGAAAUUAAUUUUUAUAGUGAAAAAGCUUAAAUAGUUUAAAGGGACGAGAAGACCCUAUUGAGCUUUAUAUUAGUUAUAAUAAAUAUGAUUUAUUUGAUUAAAUUGAUAUUAUGUUUAUUAUGUUUAAUUUUGAUUGGGGUGAUCAAGGAAUAAGAUGAUAUUAUUUAACUUCCUUAAAAUAAUUUAUUUUUUAGAAUAAUUAACCAAUGAUAUUGCUUAUAUGAUAAGUUACCAUAGGGAUAACAGCGUAAUUUUUUUGGAGAGUUCAUAUUAAAAAAAGAGAUUGCGACCUCGAUGUUGGAUUAAAAUAACCAUAUGGUGAAGAGGCUUUAUAUGGUGAAUCUGUUCGAUUUUUAAAAUUUU